This 1415-nucleotide long non-coding RNA is filed under the name Gossypium barbadense (sea-island cotton). Its description in RNAcentral is "long non-coding RNA (GBAR_LNC020449)". The record is from RNAcentral. Lineage: Eukaryota; Viridiplantae; Streptophyta; Magnoliopsida; Malvales; Malvaceae.
CGAGAUGCUUAUGUCCCUUGGUGGGUGGUGUGUGCUCAUGUACGGUCAAGGUACUCUCAAUUCUGUAAACCAAACCCUUAAGGCAACUGCUCAUGGCACGCUGACUCUUGACAGAGUACUAGAGACAAAACCCUUUCCAGGGGCAAUACCUUCGAUUAUUGGUAGGGGCAAAGACAACCCUCUCAAUUAGUAUAAUGGUAAAAUUACACUUUGACUCUCCCAAUAAUUUAUAAUUCAUUUUCGAUCCCUUCUAAAAAGACAAAUUUCUAACUCUGUUUCUUAGCUAUUGGGAACUCAAUUAAUUACCUUACCAACAGUACUUUAAAUACUCAUCUUGAAAGAAUCCAACCCUUAACAAAUUAUAAUUUACAUUUGAUACGAGCCAAUGAGGUGACACUCAAGGGGUUGUUUUUCCUAGUGGUCCAAUUACUCGAAGCAAGGCACGACAAUUAAAAUUAAAGAUGAAUGCUUUUGUCCAAGACUUUGUUGCUACAAAUUUAAUUCAUCAUGUUCGUGACAUUGACAAAUACGAGAAUGCAAUUCAUUGGACCAAUCUUGGAAUAGUGAAAGCCCAUAAAUUGGUGGAUUAAUCUUUUAUGUAUAUUAUUAUUAUUAUUUACUUAAUUCUCAUUGGUUGGGACACAUCAUUUAUGAGUUAAGUAAUUUUAUUGGUUAGGUUAUUAUUUAUUUAUUUUCUUAGAUAAUUUUAAAGAGUUUUAUUAGGAUUCAAUUACUCUUUAAAGAGUUUUUAUUAGGAUUCAAUUACUCUUGAAAGAGUUGUAUUAGGAUUCAAUUACUCUUGUAAUUUGCCAAUAAAUAGGCUUGUUUUCUACACAUUGGGGGAGGAAUAAAAAGAAGAGUAUUUGUUUUCUUUCAAAUUUGUGUGAGGCAAAUUUUUUUAGAGUAGAGUGAUUCUUCUCUUGCUAUUUAGUUUGGAGUUUGUUACUUUCGAGGGUAUUUCGGAGUUGCAAAUAUUCAAAUUUCUUUCCCGUUCAUCGGUGUUUCUAGAGGUUCUUCUUCUAGGGGUUUCGUAGGGAGCCGCUCAAUCAUUGGUGUUUUUAGUUACAAGUUAACCAAGGGUUCCAUAGGGCAAUUUUAUCCUUUUUAUUUAUUUAUUUAUUAUUUAACUAAUUUUAUUCUCGUUUUAUUUCUAAUUUGUGUUUCUCUUGUGUCUAGAUCCGGGAUUCCGCAUCAACAUUUUUAGGGGCGUUACUUAAGCGACCAUUGGCAACAAUCUUUUCAACAUGCAGUGCAUUGGCUUCUGCUAUGAUUAAAUUAAUGACCUCUAUUGUUUUAGAUUCCCACUUGCCUUGGUCACAAACAAACUGCAAAUGCAUCAUUAAAAUCUUUAAUAUAUCAAAAGUGGGAUUGGGUUAAGAUUGGAAUAUAUAUAUAUACAUCUCUGAUAAAUUUGC